Molecule: ribosomal RNA, 460 nt
Filed under: uncultured bacterium
Lineage: Bacteria
Description: partial 16S ribosomal RNA
Rfam family: Bacterial small subunit ribosomal RNA
Source: RNAcentral
CCUACGGGAGGCAGCAGUGAGGAAUAUUGGUCAAUGGACGCGAGUCUGACCCAGCCACGUAGCGUGAAGGAUGACUGCCCUCUGGGUUGUAACCUUCUUUUAUAUGGGAAUAAAAUGUUCCAUGUGUGGGAUUUUGUAUGUACCAUAUGACUAAGGAUCGGCUAACUCCGUGCCAGCAGCCGCGGUAAUACGGAGGAUCCGAGCGUUAUCAGGGUUUAUUGGGUGUAAAGGGAGCGUAGGUGGAUUGUUAAGUCAGUUGUGAAAGUUUGCGGCUCAACCGUAAAAUUGCAGUUGAAACUGGCAGUCUUGAGUACAGUAGAGGUGAGCGGAAUUCGUGGUGUAGCGGUGAAAUGCGUAGAUAUCACGAAGAACUCCGAUGGCGAAGGCAGUUCACUGGACUGCAACUGACACUGAGGCUCGAAAGUGUGGGUAUCAAACAGGAUUAGAUACCCCAGUAGUC